RNAcentral lists this ribosomal RNA (435 nucleotides) under uncultured bacterium. Its description in RNAcentral is "partial 16S ribosomal RNA". It matches the Rfam family "Bacterial small subunit ribosomal RNA", at positions 28 to 507 of the family's 1533-position model. The record is from RNAcentral.
GAUGAACGCUGGCGGUAUGCUUAACACAUGCAAGUCGAACGGACUCUUCGGAGUUAGUGGCGGGCGGGUGAGUAACGCGUGAGAAUCUGGCUUUGGGUUCGGGACAACCACUGGAAACGGUGGCUAAUACCGGAUGUGCCGAGAGGUAAAAGAGAAAUUGCCUGAAGAUGAGCUCGCGUCUGAUUAGCUAGUUGGUGAGGUAAAGGCUCACCAAGGCAGCGAUCAGUAGCUGGUCUGAGAGGAUGACCAGCCACACUGGGACUGAGACACGGCCCAGACUCUUACGGGAGGCAGCAGUGGGGAAUUUUCCGCAAUGGGCGAAAGCCUGACGGAGCAAUACCGCGUGAGGGAAGAAGGCUCUUGGGUUGUAAACCUCUUUUCUUAGGGAAGAACAAAAUGACGGUACCUAAGGAAUCAGCAUCGGCUAACUCCGUG